Non-coding RNA from Agelaius phoeniceus (red-winged blackbird), 301 nucleotides. The record is from RefSeq and is a predicted model, not a curated record. NCBI's taxonomy places the organism in Eukaryota, Metazoa, Chordata, Aves, Passeriformes, Icteridae.
ACCAGGAGAGCUCUGCAAGUUUCCAGAAAGGAGAAACUUCCUCUAUUUGUCUUUUUAAGACAGUGGGAGAAUUGGAAGGCUGGGACAUCAAAAGUGCCAAAGGACAAAGACAUUUUUAUUCUAAGGUGAGGAUUCUUCUCCUCCUUUGAUUCAUUACCCAUAUAGACACUGGCAAAAAGAAAGGCUCCUCAAAAUCCUGCUGUGAAAUAAGAGGCCGCUGGAAGUCCUUCUGAGGUCAGAAGAAACAAUCAGAAUCCUCAAGAAAAUAGGAAUGAGGAAAACAGCUUAAUAGUGAGCUAAG